AAGUCUUUCGAAGAGAGAUAUGGUUGAUGGACUAGAAGAGCAUGGCCUAUAUUGCUGUGUCGCGUGCGUCUUCCUCGAACCUUGAAAAUCUAUGCCAGGGCCACGUAGACAUUCUCAAUAGACCGUACCAAUAUCCGCAGCAGGUCUCCAAGGUUAAAAGUCUCUAGUCGAUAGAAUAAUGUAGGUAAGGGAAGUCGGCAA
Molecule: ribosomal RNA, 201 nt
Filed under: Chrysochromulina rotalis
Lineage: Eukaryota; Haptophyta; Prymnesiales; Chrysochromulinaceae
Description: partial Eukaryotic large subunit ribosomal RNA
Rfam family: Eukaryotic large subunit ribosomal RNA
Source: RNAcentral